RNAcentral lists this ribosomal RNA (435 nucleotides) under uncultured bacterium. Its description in RNAcentral is "bacterial SSU rRNA". It matches the Rfam family "Bacterial small subunit ribosomal RNA", at positions 355 to 804 of the family's 1533-position model. The record is from RNAcentral.
UGGGGAAUUUUGGGCAAUGGGGGAAACCCUGGCCCAGCAACGCCGCGUGAAGGAUGAAGUAUUUCGGUAUGUAAACUUCGAAAGAAUAGGAAGAAUAAAUGACGGUACUAUUUAUAAGGUCCGGCUAACUACGUGCCAGCAGCCGCGGUAAUACGUAGGGACCAAGCGUUGUUCGGAUUUACUGGGCGUAAAGGGCGCGUAGGCGGCAUGACAAGUCACUUGUGAAAUCUCUGGGCUUAACCCAGAACGGCCAAGUGAUACUGUCGCGCUAGAGUGCAGAAGGGGCAAUCGGAAUUCUUGGUGUAGCGGUGAAAUGCGUAGAUAUCAAGAGGAACACCUGAGGUGAAGACGGGUUGCUGGGCUGACACUGACGCUGAGGCGCGAAAGCCAGGGGAGCAAACGGGGAUUAGAUACCCAGGUAGUCCCUGAGCGGGC